CCCUUAGAUGUCCUGGGCCGCACGCGCGCUACACUGACAUGUUCAACAAGCCUCCUAGUUCGACAGGAUUUGGGAAAUCUUUGAACGCAUGUCGUGAUAGGGAUAGAUCAUUGCAAUUAUUGAUCUUGAACGAGGAAUUCCUAGUAAACGCGAGUCAUCAGCUCGCAUUGAUUACGUCCCUGCCCUUUGUACACACCGCCCGUCGCACCUACCGAUUGAAUGUUUCGGUGAAGAUUCCGGAUAGGACUUUUUUGAUUUAUUUCAAUUUUGUCUUAAAAGCUAACUAAACCUCAACAUUUAGAGGAAGGUGAAGUCGUAACA
This 321-nucleotide ribosomal RNA is filed under the name uncultured eukaryote. RNAcentral describes it as "partial 18S ribosomal RNA". It matches the Rfam family "Eukaryotic small subunit ribosomal RNA", at positions 1470 to 1796 of the family's 1831-position model. The record is from RNAcentral.